This 253-nucleotide ribosomal RNA is filed under the name uncultured bacterium. RNAcentral describes it as "partial 16S ribosomal RNA". It matches the Rfam family "Bacterial small subunit ribosomal RNA", at positions 524 to 776 of the family's 1533-position model. The record is from RNAcentral.
GACGAACCGAGCGAACGUUGUUCGGAAUCACUGGGCUUAAAGGGCGCGUAGGCGGGUGCUCAAGUCCGUGGUGAAAUCCUCCGGCUCAACCGGAGAACUGCCUCGGAUACUGGGCGUCUCGAGUGUGGUAGGGGUAUGCGGAACUAUCGGUGGAGCGGUGAAAUGCGUUGAUAUCGAUAGGAACUCCGGUGGCGAAGGCGGCAUACUGGACCACCACUGACGCUGAGGAGCGAAAGCGUGGGGAGCGAACAGG